RNAcentral lists this long non-coding RNA (29321 nucleotides) under Triticum aestivum (bread wheat). RNAcentral describes it as "long non-coding RNA (TAES_LNC014554)". Lineage: Eukaryota; Viridiplantae; Streptophyta; Magnoliopsida; Poales; Poaceae. The record is from RNAcentral.
CAACACUUCCAUCACAGAGACACAUAACACAGUUUCCUUCUCAAUAACUUAUUAAUUGAUGUACAACUUAAUUAUACAGUUACGCAACAAGAACACACACGAUCAGAUCACUCGUCUUCUUUGAGAUCUGUAUACCCAUGGCUACAUGUUGUGCUUUGCUCCGGUAAUCAAGGGCAGCACACCAUGCUUAUACAUAAAAGCUACAUAUAUAGAAGGUAUAGCUAGGCAGCUAGCCCUAGCCACCAUGGAUAGAUCGAUUAUUAGUCGUCCUCGCCCUCGCCCUGCCUAACAUAGGGCAACAAUGUCCGCGAAGUCGUCGAUUCCCAUGGAGAGCACGGGGUCGUCUUCAACCACAUUGUUGUCCAUGUUGAUGUAAUUCUCGCUGUUGUUACCAUGUUCAGGAGCAGCGGUGACACCAGUGUUAUUAGUUGCACUACCUGCGCCGGCGGCGGCCACCAUGGCCACAUCAGCGACGGGUUCAAUAGCUGCUGGCACGGGCAUGGGCAAGGGCACGUUCGACCGAGUGAAGAGGCGGUAGAGAUUGAGGGCGUGCCUCUUGGCGAUGGCCUUGAUAUCGGGAAGCGGGAGGCUGCCGCGGCGGUACUCGGGGACGUAGGGCCGCGGCGCGCCGGGGAAGUUGAACUUGCGCGGUGGGGUGUCUCCGUAGAAGCAAAAGAGUGCGACGUCGUAGGCGAGUGCCGCCUGCUCAGGGCACUGGAAUGUGCCGAUCCACAGCCUGGCGCGAGUGCGGGGCACGCGGAUCUCCGCCGCCCACCGACCCCAGUGCCGCUGGCGCACGCCCAUAAGCCCCAAGUUCUUGCGAGGCACCGACGACUUCGAGCUUGCACCGCGGCGGCGGUGGGCGCGGCGGCCAACUUCCUCCCUCCUCAUCACCCUAGUGUUCGCCUCCAUGCACAAGCGCCUGCAAGGAAAAACACUCGUGCGCUAUGAGGAAGAAGGACGAAGAGAGAAUGCCGGUGGCGUGUGGUGCACAGGGGGCCGGGCAGUACGUAUGGCUUUAAAGUGUAGCACGGCACCGAAUAGGGGACACUUGGCUGCACGCAUGCACCAGCACUACUCAUCAUUUAUGACGGGGAUACACCUUCUAGAUAUGCAUCGACCUUGGCAAGGUUUCACUUACUCCCACCUAAACCCGAUUAUUAAUGAAGCUAAUCCAUAUUUGUCUCUUUCCUCCAAAAAAAUCUAUAUUUGUCUCUGAACAUUUAUAGAGAAAAUUACAUAUUGCAUCCCCUACCUAUACGAAAAGUGCAGGUCGGUCCCAAACUUUAAAAUUGAAAUAUCAAACUCAAACCUUUCAAACCAGACAUAUUUGGUCCCUCUACUCACCCGAAGUGGUAUGGAUGCUGGCGUGACCUAGAUUUUGUCAACUAGGCAUCCACCUCACCCCCUUCCCCCAUCACCACGAGCGCGCAUGCCAUGGACGAGCCCCGAUGAACCAUCCCGCAGGUGUUGGUUUGGCUGCAUCUGGGGUGGACAACGCUAAUGCACGUAUGGAUUGAGAGGCUAGAGCUGGUCAUAGUCGUGUACCAAACGAGUGGAACGAGGGUUUUGCGUUACAUGGACAAGAACCCAAUAGCAAGGCAAUGAACGUCCUAAUGAAAGCAUGUCAUCAUCGCCACAUGCAUGCCGCCACUAUUUUGUUGUUGUCGCAAUGCACAACCGCUUGUCUAGGCCGAAUUGAUGCAACCUCCACUCUGAUCAUUCUUUCCCCUCCUCGCAUCCCUACACGAGCUCUUGUUGGGGAACGAAGUAAUUUCAAAAAAAUUCCUACGCACACGCAAGAUCAUGGUGAUGCGUAGCAACUAGAGGGGAGAGUGUUGUCCAUGUACCCUCGUAGACCGAAAGCGGGAGCAUUAGCACAACGUGGUUGAUGUAGUCGUACAUCUUCACGACCCGACCGAUCAAGCACCGACGCACGGCACCUCCGAGUUCUGCACACAUUCAACUCGAUGACGUCCCUCGAACUCCGAUCCAGCCGAGCUUUGAGGGAGAGUUUCGUCAGCAUGAUGGUGUGGGGACGAUGAUGUUCUACCGACACAUGGCUUCGCCUAAGCGCCGCUACGACAUGACCGAGGUGGAUUAUGGUGGAGGGGGGCACCGCACACGGCUAAGAGAUCCAAGGGAUCAAUUGUUGUGUCUCUAGGGGGUGCCUCCCUCCCCGUAUAUAAAGGAGUAGAGGAGGGGGAGGGGGUCGGCCACCCUUGGUGCGCCCCAUGAGGAUUCCUACUCCCACCGGGAGUAGGACUCCCCUCUUUCCAUGUUGGAGUAGGAGAGGGGAGGGAAGGAGAAAGAGGGAGAAAGGAAAGGGGGGGCGCCGCCCCCCUUCCUAGUCCAAUUCGGACUUGGGAGGGGAGGGGCGCGCGGCUGCCCCUUGGCUGCCUCUCCUCUUCCACCAAUUGGGCCCAUGAGGCCCAUUAACCUUCGAGGGGGUUCCGGUAACCCCCCGGUACUCCGGUAUAUAUCCGAUAACCCCCGGAACCAUUCCGGUGUCCGAAUAUAGUCGUCCAGUAUAUCAAUCUUCAUGUCUCGACCAUUUCGAGACUCCUCGCCAUGUCUGUGAUCACAUCCGGGACUCCGAACUACCUUCAGUACAUCAAAACAUAUAAACUCAUAAUAUAACCCUCAUCGAACUUUAAGCGUGCGGACCCUACGGGUUUGAGAACUAUGUAGACAUGACCGAGACAUGUAACCGGUCAAUAACCAAUAGCGGAACCUGGAUGCUCAUAUUGGCUCCUACAUAUUCUACGAAGAUCUUUAUCGGUCAAACCGCAUAACAACAUACGUUGUUCCCUUUGUCAUCGGUAUGUUACUUGCCCGAGAUUCGAUCGUCGGUAUCUCAAUACCUAGUUCAAUCUCGUUACCGGCAAGUCUCUUUACUCGUUCCAUAAUACAUCAUCCCGCAAAUAACUCAUUAGUUGCAAUGCUUGCAAGGCUUAAGUGAUGUGUAUUACCGAGUGGGCCCAGAGAUACCUCUCCGACAAUCGGAGUGAAAAAUCCUAAUCUCGAAAUACGCCAACCCAACAAAUACCUUUGGAGACACCUGUAGAGCACCUUUAUAAUCACCCAGUUACGUUGUGAUGUUUGGUAGCACACAAAGUGUUCCUUCAGUAAACGGGAGUUGCAUAAUCUCAUAGUCACAGGAACAUGUAUAAGUCAUGAAGAAAGCAAUAGCAACAAACUAAACGAUCAAGUGCUAAGCUAACGGAAUGGGUCAAGUCAAUCACAUCAUUCUCCUAAUGAUUUGAUCUCGUUAAUCAAAUGACAACUCAUGUCUAUGGCUAGGAAACAUAGCCAUCUUUGAUUAACGAGCUAGUCUAGUAGAGGCAUACUAGUGACACUUUGUUUGUCUAUGUAUUCACACAUGUAUCAUGUUUCCGGUUAAUACAAUUCUAGCAUGAAUAAUAAACAUUUAUCAUGAUAUAAGGAAAUAAAUAAUAACUUUAUUAUUGCCUCUAGGGCAUAUUUCCUUCAGCUCUCCCUCAUCACACAGACCUCAUUGUGCAUUCAUGCAUCUUUCCCGUCCUUUAAUAUCAAGAAUGGCCCCUUUAUCCCACCCAGCUUCGUCUACGCCUUUUUGGCCUUUUCCCGUCAAGCGUCACCCCAUCAUUUCUCGAUGAGACAUUCCGCCGACAUUCGUUUGGCAGCAUUGAGGGUGGAUAGCACUCAUGCAUGUACAGAUCGAGACGCUAGAGUUGUCUUAGUUGUGUGCCAAACCAGUGGGACGAGGGGUUUUGCGUUACAUGGUCAAGAGCCCAACAAAAAGACAACUAACAUCUGAAUAAAGCAUGUCGUCAUAUCCACAAGCGCUACCCCAUCAUUUCUCGAUGAACCAUCCCACUGGCAUUGGUUUCACAUCAUCUGGGGUGGACAACGCUCAUGCACAUAUGGAUUAAAAGGCUAGAGUCUUAGUCGUGUACCAAACUAGUGGGAUGAGGACUUUGUGUUACAUGGUCAAGAGACCAACAAAAAGGUAACUAACGUCCGAACGAAAGCAUGUCGUCAUCUCCACAUGCAUUAUGUCGCUAUUUUGUUGUUGUCACAAUGCCCAACAACUGCUUCUCUAGGCCGAAACGAAUCAACCUCCACUCUAGUCAUUCUUUCCCCUCCCCGCAUCCCUGCACAAGCUCCCUCGUCACCCAGACCUCAUUGUGCAUCCAUGCACCUUCUCUGUCCUUUAGCGUCGAGGAUGACCGCUUAAUCCCACCCAGCUUCAUCUAUGCAUUCUUGGCCUUUUCCCUUGAAGUGCCAACUCAUCAUUUCCCAUGCUUUUCUUCCACCUUCUCCGUCUAGCUUGUUAAGAUCGAGAGUGACUCGCUGUCCUCUCUACGGGGACCAUAUCGGGCCUAGGUUGUGCACCUAACUUCAUAUCAUGGGAAUUUCAUCAAUAUUUAGGCUAGGCUAGGAAACAAUAGAGAAGGUGGUGGAUGCAGUGUUAGAACCCAUGAAUGGACGGAGAGAGAGAGAGAGGAGGGAGGGAGGGAGAGCGAGCGAGAGAGAGACGGGGGAGAGGGAGAGAGAGUUGGAUUCUAGCAUGGGUACCCAAUCAGGAAAAAUGGGCCACAUUAGGACCAAUACGGCUUCAGAUAAGGAAGGUACUAAAUGUGUCCGCUUUGGAAAGUGUAUGGUUUGAUUUGUCCGAUUUGAAGUGUGAGGGACUAAACCCGCACCUUUUGUAUAGUUGGGGCAAAAGUGUAUAUAUCGUAUGAAAUUGAUAUGACGCCACUACAUUGAAGUCGUCGAAUAUAUUUGUAUGUAUAUCGCAAAGAUAUAGUUUGCAAACUGCCUAUCAUAUAUUUAUACAUACUCACUAAUUUUUUUAUGCUAAGAGAAAGAUAAAUCUCCACAAAAGUAACGUAUGGAAGAUAUGCGCAUGCAUGCAAUGUUGUUCACGGUUAGCCUCGAAUUCUCUACAUGAGUUUCAAGCCUUAAUUUAUGGCUGAUUUGGCAAAUAUGUUUAUUCUUUAUCUGUAAAUGAAACCUCAUAAAAUUAUUCCUAGGAGUGAGUCACUUUCUUCCCACCACAAUGGCGAUACUAAACUUGAACCGGUCAAUGAUUAUACUUAUAGUGAUAUGUUGGCGUCCAUGUUGUUAGCAUCGUGAGUGACAUGCUAUUUGUGUGGGCCGAAUGUUUGAGGGAUAAGGCUGAGUUUGUGGUCUUGGAAGACAAUGUACUGAAACAAGACCUUGUCAAAUGUUUCUCACAUGCUCAAACAAAUUAAAAUGUUUACGGUUGUGGAACCCUAAAAUAAGAUGUGUUGUAUGUGGGGAUGACUACAAUAGAAACAACCCUUGUGGUGAAAGGAUAGAAAAAUCAACUUGGGUCAUCAGAUCGGAGAUAGAUGGCAUAGAUGCAAGUUACAAAACUCAAACCAUAAAGUUUUAAAACUUACACCGAUGAGUUCCAAAACUUAAACUAAUCUGAGUCAUGUAUCUUCAAUCUAAUGACCCAUGUUGAUUUGUUUUAUUCUUUCACCAAAAGGUUUUUUCUAUUAUAGUUGUCUGGAUUGCAUGUUUACAUAACAAUUUGGCAUUGAUCUCCAUUAUACCUUAACACUAGGGAAUGAUGACUUAUGUGUUGAUCAAUUGAGAUGUCAUGUGUGUUCAAAGGGUCAGUGGUUGAUCUUUAUUAAGAGAAAAAUGAGUAUAGAAGUAUAUGAGGGGACAACACAGAGAUUCUGUUUGAGAGGUUGUAGCAGUAAAAGAGAGGGCUACAAUCAUGCUACCGAUGAGCUACUUAGAGAUACCUAAAGCUGAUGUAGCAGCCGACAACCUUCAACAUUCUAAAGUCCUCUAUGAUGACCCCAAAUCCCCCUGUUCAGUGCUAGAUGUGGCAUUGAAUAUCCUUGUGUUCCUCUCUUUCCAAAUCAUCCAUUGAACCAGAAUGGCCAUCAUGUCGAAGUCAUUUAUUUGUCUCUCGUGGACUACCUUCCUAGCUGUUAAGCAUUGUUCCUUAGUAGGAACAAAGUUUGUGCUCGGGGUGGGAAAGUCAACUCCAACCUAGUCAUGCACCUUGGCCCACACCUGCUGAGGGAACCUGCACUGAAUAAACAUGUGCGAGCAACACUCUGGGAGGGGAGGCACAUCUGGCAGGUUGUCUAGUGUGGCCACCCAAGAAACUGCAAGUUGUCUAUAGUGAGACAUUUCCUAUGAACAUUGAGCCACAAGAAGCAUUUGCAAUGGGGUAGAUUUGACUUCUAUAUGGCCUUAGGAUAGGCAAAGCAUUGAUUUGCCACAAAGGAAAAAAUGUAUGCGCUUUUGAUAGAGAAGGUCAUGUGAAUGGAAGGUCUCCACACAACCGCAUCAUAAACACUAUGUAUCAGGUUGGCCUCCAUAACAAGAUCCUAGAGGCAAUGGUAGUGAGGGAGAGCAUGGGGAAAGGCCACCAUGAAUGUCCCUAGUAUUGUUGUUGUGGUUGAGGCCCUCCGCCACUGUGUGAUCUUGCCUACGCACAUAGGUGACAAGAACAGAGGCGACGUCCUGGACUGACUUCCCACCGAGGAGCUAGUUAUCUCUCACUAAAGAAUUAUGUGUGGCAACCAUCAUCCAAAUGGGCAAGUGAACCUGCACUAAAGAGGGUGUCCGCUGCCAUGUCGACGUCGUUAGGGACAAGGAUCCAAGGGUGCGACUCGAGAUUCCAACGCGACCAAUCCCAUUUGCAGCGGAGCAUUGUGCCGAAAUGACGUAGAUUAAGGAUCACAAGGCUGUCAUUUUGGAUUGGCAUGCAGAUUCAUGACCAUGACAAGAGGCAAUGAUGGCCAUUUACCUCUGCUUUUCCUUUCGAUACAAAGGCACAACAACAAUGAUUGAAAAUGUUGAGAGCCCUUGCUGGCGGGUGGAGCACCAAUUGGAAGUUCGGCAGAAGCGCCAUCAAGGAUAAUUCAGUGAGGGUGAGGCGACCACCCAUGGACAGAGGUUUGAACUUCUGGCUAGCUAGAUUAUUCAAGAAAUUGUCGAGGAGAGGCCAAAAGUCAUCACAUCAAAGGUGUACAAUUGUGAGGAGGUCAAGGUAUUUCAGAUGAAGUGGUUGCAACUUGCUUUACAAAUGAGUAGCAACCUCCCCUGCCAGAUCGUCGCUGCACAAAUUACACCACAGUGUUCUUCUGAAGGUUGAUCUAGAGGUGCAUGCCUCCCAAAGAGGUGUGGGAUGUUUAGGACCACUUCCUUGUCAUAGGGAGAGGGUCUAAAUAAGAUGAUCAUGUUGUCCACAAAAAUGGAUGCCAUGGGGAUGCAGUGGGGUCCAAGUCGAGGCUCGUCCAACAUGCCAUGUAGCGUACUCAUGGCUAAUAUGAACAGAGUGGAGGUUAGAGAUCGACAUGUCAAACUCCUAUUUCGGGAAGCAGGUGGGUUGCACUCCCCAUUGAUUAGGAUAGUGAUGGACGCCGAGCGAAUGAGACAACAGUUGCAAGAGCGACAACGUGCACCGAAGUCAUGCCGACAAAGAACCUACAUGAGGAAUCCCUAGGCCAUCGAAUUAACCUUUGAUAUGUUAAUCUUUAUAAGCACUUAUUCUGAUCUGCGGUGGUAGAGAAGGUUUAUCGAGCUACACCAGAUUCGGAUUCUCAUGGAUAGAAUGCAUGGAAGUGAACCUGCUCUAGGCAUGGGAAAUUAUUGUGGGAAGGAGUGACCCCAUUGGCGAAGCCCCAGAGCCAGCUUUCAUCUUCUGGCAGGGGUCGAGUGCACUACGCUUUCUCAAGCUAAAAGGUCACUUCAUUGGCAACCCUUAUUUUAUGUUUUAUGACAUAUGAUGCAAGUACUCCCCAAUUUACCAUUUUCUCUUGAUAGGUCUUGUGUCGUUUCAAUACAUAAAUAUGAUGUCUCUACGAGUUUCCCCAUUUAUCUGCUAGAGCAUUAUUCUUUAAACAAGAGCCGCAUCCAGCCUAUAUGGUUUUUUAAUGAUUUUUUCCAACAAUAGAUUUCACAUUGGCCUAUUUUUAUCUUUAUGAGGAAUUGGGAACUAUUACGUAAAAUUAUGUUGGUUGCUUCAACUAGGUUUGGACUCUUUCCCUCAUCCUCAUGUCGGGUUGCUAGGGCACUCUCCCCUUCAAGCUUUGCCUUCAAGACCAUGGAUCCACAUCCCCUCCGCCUACUGCUUAGGCGGCCGGUGAUGGGGAGGGGCUCCCGAUGCCACGAUUUCGACUAGUCAUUUAGGUUAGGGUUUUUCCUCGAAGGGGUGGUGCUCUUGCGGGAUGGCGACGCUUCAUGUUCGAGUUGGUCUUUCAGGCUUCGAUUCUUCUCGAGUUCGUUCGUCGGGACGGAGUCAGCGUAGCUUUGACAUAGAUUCAUGCUAUCUCAUAAGAGCGGCGAGGUUUUUUUCACGGGAAUGCCACUUGGCAGUUUUAUUUCGACUUUAAAAGAGUUACAUCCUUAAGUACAUGCGGUAAAACAAAACUAAGUGGAUCGUCGUCCCACCAAUACAUCACAUUUGAUUCAAAAGCAUGUCUAGCUAAGGUGUGUGCCAAAGUGUUUGCUUCCCGUGGACAGUGCUGAAAACGAAUUGAAGAGAUCUCGUGAACAUAAUGGAAGCAGUCUGCCAGGAUAGCUGAGUAAGGAGCCAAGAUGUCCAUAUCGUUGUUACAUGCGUUGAUCACUUGAAGGCAAUCUGAUUCAACAAUCACAUUUGAACAGCCAAUCUGGUUCAUGAGUUGCAGUCCUCGUUGCAACGCCAUCGCUUCUGCGAAGAUAUCAUUCUUUGCAUGGUGAAAGGUUCAGCUACACCCGACAUAGCUUCACCACGAGAAUUUCGCAGUAUCGCCACUAUCGCUCCCGAACCAUCCUCGAAGAAAGAUGCAUCUGUGUUUAGUUUAUAAGAUCCGUGGAAAGGUUUAUCCCAUCCACCCUUUACUACCUGAGCAUGGUCUGACCUGAUGGAGGUAUUUGCUAUGAUCGCAUGAAUGGCAAAUGCGGUACUUUUCAGACGUUUGGCGGAUUCUCCCUUACAUGCCUCCCUUCUCUCCCACCAAAUAUACCAUGCCCCCACUACAAUAGUUUCAUGAAGGCCAAGCUGUCCAAGAACAGGUGAACACCCACGAGGGCGACGAAGGAUAUCUUCAAGGACCACCGAUCCAAAUCUGUCAAUAGACAAAGCUUGUCGUAUGAUGUCAUCCAGACCGAGAGCCCGCCAUACUGCGCAAUCUCGUCUGCAAGUAAAAAAGCAGAUGUUUCAUAUCUUCAAGGUCCUUCUUGCAGACCGGGCACAUAGGAGAAACUUAAAUGUGUCUGCAAGUUAGUACAGCCAUACAAGUGAUCAAGCCAUGAAGCGCCCGCCAUAUGAAUAUCCUUAGCUUGCUGGGAAAAUCUAGCUUCCAAACUGUCUCCCGGCCAGAUUUGUAAAAGAGUGCUCUGACUGCUAGUGAAUUUUGUGCCAUAUUGAUGUUCCCAUUCCAUGUAAUGUGUAGAACGAAUUGAGAACAAAAAGGAUUUAGUAUGAUCUCAUACAACAAAGUCCUUGGUGAGGUGCUCCGAAAGAGGUAGUUUUAGGAUUCUUUCUGCAUCCACCGGCAAAAAUACACUCCUAAUGAGAUCCUCAUCCUAGCUUGAUGUAUCCGACUGUUGGGGAACGUAGUAUUUCAAAAUUUUCCUACAAUCACGCAAGAUCUAUCUAGGAGAAGCAUAGCAACGAGCGGGGAGAGUGUGUCCAUGUACCCUCGUAGAAAGAAAGCGAAAGCGUUUAGUAACGCGGUUGAUGUAGUCGAACGUCUUCGUGAUCCAACCGAUCCAAGUACCAACCGCACGGUACCUCCGCAAUCUGCACACAUUCAGCUUGGUGACGUCCCUUGAAUUAUUGAUAAAGUUGAGGCUGAGGGAGAGUUUCGUCAGCACAACGGCGUGGUGACGGUGAUGAUGAUGUUACCGGCCCAGGGCUUCUCCUAAGCACUACAACAAUAUGACCGAGGUGUUAACUGUGGAGGGGGGCGCCGCACAUGGCUAGGAACAAUUGAUGUGUGUUCUAGGGGUGACCUCCCCACGUAUAUAAAGGAGGGAGAAGGAGGGAGGCAGCCUAGGGCGCGCCCAAGUAGGAGGAAUCCUACUUGGGCCCCUAGUCCAUAUUUGGACAAGGGGGAAAGGAAGGAGGGGGGGAAGGAAGUAGUAGUCCUACUUCAUACUUUCCUUUUCCUCACCCCCUUUUCCUUUCUCCCCACAUGGCUGGCCCUAUAGGGGGCGCACCAUCCCCUUGUGGGCUGGUGUGUUCCCUUACUUGGCCCAUUAAGCCCAUAUCUUUGCCGGGGUUUGCCCGGAACCCCUUCCGAUGACCCGGUAUCACCCGGAACACUUUCGGUGUUCGAAUAUAGCCUUCCAAUAUAUGAAUCUUUACCUCUCGACCAUUUCAAGACUCCUCGUCAUGUCCGUGAUCUCAUCCGGGACUCCGAACAAACUUCGGUACAUCAAAUCACAUAGCUCAUAAUACAAAUCAUCAUCGAACGUUAAGCGUGCGGACCCUACGGGUUUGAGAACUAUGUAGACAUGACCGAGACACAUCUCCGAUCAAUAACCAAUAGCGGAACCUGGAUGCUCAUAUUGGUUCCAACAUAUUGUACGAAAAUCUUUAUUGGUCAAACCGCAUAACAACAUACGUUGUUCCCUUUGUCAUCGGUAUGUUACUUGCCCGAGAUUCGAUCAUCGGUAUCAUCAUACCUAGUUCAAUCUCGUUACCGGCAAGUAUCUUUACUCAUUCCAUAAUUCAUCAUACCGCAACUAACUCAUUAGUCACAUUGCUUGCAAGGCUUAUAGUGAUGUGCAUUACCGAGAGGGCCCAGAGAUACCUCUUUGACAAUCAGAGUGACAAAUCCUAAUCUCGAUCUGUGCCAACUCAACAAACACCAUCGGAGACACCUGUAGAGCAUCUUUAUAAUCACCCAGUUACGUUGUGACGGUUGAUAGCACACAAGGUGUUCCUCCGGUAUUCGGGAGUUGCAUAAUCUCAUAGUAAGAGGAACAUGUAUAAGUCAUGAUGAAAGCAAUAGCAAUAAAACUAAACGAUCAUUUAUGCUAAGCUAAUGGAUGGGUCAUGUCCAUCACAUCAUUCUCUAAUGAUGUGAUCCUGUUCAUCAAAUGACAACACAUGUCUAUGGUUAGGAAACUUAACCAUCUUUGAUUAACGAGCUAGUCAAGUAGAGGCAUACUAGGGACACUCUGUUUGUCUAUGUAUUCACACAUGUACUAAGUUUCCGGUUAAUACAAUUCUAGCAUGAAUAAUAAACAUUUAUCAUGAUAUAAGGAAAUAUAGAUAACAACUUUAUUAUUGCCUCUAGGGCAUAUUUCCUUCACCGACACCACCAACUCAUUAAUUAUUCUCAACAAAGUAUUUCCACGUCUAGUGAUAACCAUACGUGUCUGACUAGAUGGAAUCCAGUGAUCGUCCCAAAUACUAAUUUUAUCUCCUGAGCCAAUUCUCCAAAUAUGACUUCUCCGAAAGGUUUGGAGUCCCGCAAAAAUACUUAUAAUGCUACCGCCGUACUAAGCAAAAUAAGAUGCAUAAAAGAUAAACAUCACAUGCAAUCAAAAUAUGUGACAUGAUAUGGCCAUCAUCAUCUUGUGCCUUUGAUCUCCAUCUCCAAAGUACUAUCAUGAUCUCCAUCGUCACCGGCAUGACACCAUGAUCUCCAUCAUCUUGAUCUUUAUCAACUUGUCGUCACAUGGUCGUCUCGCCAACUAUUGAUUUUGCAACUAUUACUAUCGCAUAGCGAUAAAGUAAAGAAAUUAUAUAGCGCUUGCAUCUUAUGCAAUAAAGAGACAACCAUAAGGCUCCUGCCAGUUGUCGAUAACUUUAACAAAGCAUGAUCAUCUCAUACAACAAUUUAUAUCUCAUCACGUCUUGACCAUAUCACAUCACAACAUGCCCUGCAAAAACAAGUUAGACGUCCUCUACUUUGUUGUUGCAAGUUUUACGUGGCUGCUACAGGCUUCUAGCAAGAACCGUUCUUACCUACGCAUCAAGACCACAACGAUUUUUCGUCAAGUGUGUUGUUUUAACCUUCAACAAGGACCGGGCAUAGUCAAACUCGAUUCAACUAAAGUUGGAGAAACAGACACCCGCCAGCCACCUGUGUGCAAAGCACGUCGGUAGAACCAGUCUCAUGAACAUGGUCAUGUAAUGUCGGUCCGGGCCGCUUCAUCCAACAAUACCGCAGAAUCAAAGUAAGACGUUGCUGGUAAGCAGUAUGACUAUUAUCGCCCACAACUCUUUGUGUUCUACUCGUGCAUAUAACAUCUACGCAUAGACCUGGCUUGGAUGCCACUGUUGGGGAAUGUAGUAUUUCAAAAACUUCCUAUGAUCACGCAAGAUCUAUCUAGGAGAAGCAUAUCAACGAGCGGGGAGAGUGUGUCCACGUACCCUCGUAGACCGAAAGCGGAAGCAUUUAGUAACGCGGUUGAUGUAGUCAAACGUCUUCGCGAUCCAACCGAUCCAAGUACCGAACGCACGGCACCUCCGCGAUCUGCACACGUUCACCUCGGUGACGUCCCUCGAACUCUUGAUCCAAUUGAGGCCGAGGGAGAGUUUCAUCAGCACGACGGCGUGGUGACGGUGAUGAUGAUGUUACCGGCGCAGGGCUUCGCCUAAGCACUACGACGAUAUGACCGAGGUGUUAACUAUGGAGGGGGCACCGCACACAGCUAGGAACAAUUGAUGUGUGUUCUAGGGGUGCCCUCCCCACGUAUAUAAAGGAGGGAGAGGGAGGGAGGCAGCCUAGGGCGCGCCCAAGUAGGAGGAAUCCUACUUGGACCCCUAGUCCAUAUUUGGACAAGGGGGAAAGGAAGGAGGGAGGAAGGAAGCAGCAGUCCUACUUCAUACUUUCCUUUUCCUCCUCUCCUUUUCCUUUCUCCCCAUGUGGCUGGCCCUAUAGGGGGCGCACCAUCCCCUUGUGGGCUGGUGUGUUCCCUUACUUGGCCCAUUAAGCCCAUAUCUUUGUCGGGUUUGCCCGGAACCCCUUCCGAUGACCCGAUAUCACCCGGAACACUUUCGGUGUUCGAAUAUAGCCUUCCAAUAUAUGAAUCUUUACCUCUCAACCAUUUCGAGACUCCUCGUCAUGUCCGUGAUCUCAUCCGGGACUCCAAACAAACUUCGUUACAUCAAAUCACAUAACUCAUAAUACAAAUCGUCAUCGAAUGUUAAGCAUGCGGACCCUACGGGUUCGAGACCUGUGUAGACAUGACCGAGACACAUCUCCGGUCAAUAACCAAUAGAGGAACCUGGAUGCUCAUAUUGAUUCCUACAUAUUCUACGAAGAUCUUUAUCGGUCAAAGCUCAUAACAACAUACGUUGUUCCCUUUUUCAUCGGUAUGUUACUUGCCUGAGAUUCGAUCAUCGGUAUCAUCAUACCUAGUUCAAUCUCGUUACCAGCAAGUCUCUUUACUCAUUCCAUAAGGCAUCAUCCCACAACUAACUCAUUAGUCACAUUGCUUGCAAGGCUUAUAGUGAUGUGCAUUGCCGAGAGGGCCCAGAGAUACCUCUCUGGCAAUCAGAGUGACAAAUCCUAAUCUCAAUCUAUGCCAACUCAACAAACACCAUCGGAGACACCUAUAGAGCAUCUUUAUAAUCACCCAGUUAUGUUGUGACGUUUGAUAGCACACAAGGUGUUCCUCUAGUAUUCAGGAGUUGCAUAAUAUCAUAGUAAGAGGAACAUGUAUAAGUCAUGAUGAAAGCAAUAGCAAUAAAACUAAACGAUCAUUUAUGCUAAGCUAACGGAUGGGUCAUGUCCAUCACAUCAUUCUCUAAUAAUGUGAUCCCGUUCAUCAAAUGACAACACAUGUCUAUGGUUAGGAAACUUAACCAUCUUUGAUUAACGAGCUAGUCAAGUAGAGGCAUACUAGGGACACUCUGUUUGUCUAUGUAUUUACACAUGUACUGAGUUUCUGGUUAAUACAAUUCUAGCAUGAAUAAUAAACAUUUAUCAUGAUAUAAGGAAAUAUAAAUAACUACUUUAUUAUUGCCUCUAGGGCAUAUUUCCUUUGGUCUACCACUUGCACUAGAGUCAAUAAUCUAGUUCACAUCGACAUGUGAUUUAACACCAAUAGUUUACAUCGUCAUGUGAUUUAACACUCUAUAGUUCACAUCGCUAUGUGACCAAUACCCAAAGGGUUUACUAGAGUCAAUAAUCUAGUUCACAUCGCCAUGUGAUUAACACCCAAAGAGUACUAAGGUGUGAUCAUGUUUUGCUUGUGAGAGAAGUUUAGUCAAUGGGUCUGCCACAUUCAGAUCCGUAUGUAUUUUGCAAAUUUCUAUGUCUACAAUGCUCUGCAGGGAGCUACUCUAGCUAACUGCUCCAACUUUCAAUAUGUAUCUAGAUCGAGACUUAUAGUCAUCCAGAUCGGUGUCAAAGCUUGCAUCGACAUAACUCUUUACGACAAACUCUUUGUCACCUCCAUAACCGAGAAACAUUUCCUUAUUCCACUAAGGAUAAUUUUGACCGCUAUCCUGUGAUCCACUCCUGGAUCACUAUUGUACCCUCUUGCCAAACUCAUGGUGAGGUACAUAAUAGGUCUGGUACACAGCAUAGCAUACUUUAUAGAACCUAUGACUGAGGCAUAGGGAAUGAAUUUUCAUUCUCUUUCUAUUUUCUGCCGUGGUCGGGUUUUGAGUCUUUACUCAACUUCAUACCUUGCAACACAGGCAAGAACUCCUUCUUUGACUGUUUCAUUUUGAACUACUUCAAAAACUUGUUAGCGUAUGUACUCAUUAAAAAAAUUGUCAAGCAUCUUGAUUUAUCUCUAUAGAUCUUGAUGCUCAAUAUGUAAGCAGCUUCACCGAGGUCUUUCUUUGAAAAACUCCUUUCAAAUACUCCUUUAUGCUUUCCAGAAAAUUCUACAUUAUUUCCGAUCAACAAUAUGUCAUUCACAUAUACUUAUCAUAAAGGCUGUAGUGCUCCCACUCACUUUCUUGUAAAUAGAGGCUUCAUCGCAAGUCUGUAUAAAACUAUAUGCUUUGAUCAACUUAUCAAAGCGUAAAUUCCAACUCUGAGAUGCUUGCACCAGUCCAUAGAUGGAUCGCUGGAGCUUGCACAUUUUGUUAGCACCUUUAGGAUUGACAAAACCUUCUAGUUGCAUCAUAUACAAUUCUUCUUUAAGAUAUCCAUUAAGGAAUGCAAUUUUGACAUCCAUUUGCCAAAUUUCAUAAAAUGUGGCAAUUGCUAACAUGAUUCGGACAGACUUUAAGCAUCGAUAUGAGUGAGAAAAUCUCAUCGUAGUCAACAUCUUGAACUUGUAAAAACCCUUUUCGACAAGUCGACCUUUGUAGAUAGUAACACUACUAUCAGCGUCCAUCUUCCUCUUGAAGAUCCAUUUAUUCUAAAUGGCUCACCGAUCAUCGGGCAAGUCAAUCAAAGUCCAUACUUUGUUCUCAUACAUGGAUCCCAUCUCAGAUUUCAUGGCCUCAAGCCAUUUCGCGGAAUCUGGGCUCAUCAUCGCUUCCUCAUAGUUUGUAGGUUCGUCAUGGUCUAGUAAGAUGGCUUCCAGAAUAGGAUUACCGUACCACUCUGGUGCGUAACAUACUCUGGUUGACCUACGAGGUUCAGUAGUAACUUGAUCUGAAGUUUCAUGAUCAUCAUCAUUAACUUCCUCACUAAUUGGUGUAGGCAUCACUGGAACUGAUUUCUGUGAUGAACCAUUUUCAAAUUCGGGAGAAGGUACAACUACCUCAUCAAGUUCUAAUUUCCUCCCACUCACUUCUUUCGAGAGAAACUCCUUUCUAGAAAGGAUCCAUUCUUAGCAAUAGAUAACUUGCCUUCGGAUAUGUGAUAGAAGGUGUACCCAACAGUUUCCUUUGGGUAUCCUAUGAAGACGCAUUUCUCCGAUUUGGGUUCGAGCUUAUCAGGUUGAAACUUUUUCACAUAAGCAUCGCAACCCCAAACUUUAAGAAACGACAGCUUAGGUUUCUUGCCAAACGACAAUUCAUAUGGUGUCAUCUCAACGGAUUUAGAUGGUGCCCUAUUUAACGUGAAUGCAGGUGUCUCUAAUGCAUAACCCCAAAACAAUAGUAGUAAUUCGGUAAGAGACAUCAUAGAUCGCACCAUAUCUAAUAAAGUACGGUUAUGACAUUCGGACACACCAUUGUGUUGUGGUGUUCCAGGUGGCAUGAGUUUGUGAAACUAUUCCACAUUGUUUUAAUUGAAGGCCAAACUCAUAACUCAAAUAUUCGCCUCUGCGGUCAGAUCAUAGAAACUUUAUUUUCUUGUUACGAUGAUUCUCUACUUCACUCUGAAAUUCUUUGAACUUUUCAAAUGUUUCAUACUUGUGUUUCAUCAAGUAGAUAUAGCCAUAUCUUCUCAAAUCAUCUGUGAAGGUCAGAAAAUAAUGAUACCUGCCGCGAGCCUUAACACUCGUCGGACCGCAUGCAUCGAUAUGUAUUAUUUCCGAUAAGUUAGUGGCUCGCUCCAUUGUUCCGGAGAACGGAGUUUUAGUCAUCUUGCCCAUGAGGCAUGGUUCGCAAGCAUCAAGUGAUUCAUAAUCAAGUGAUUCCAAAAACCCAUCAACAUGGAGUUUCUUAAUGCGCUUUACACCAAUAUGACCUAAACGGCAGUGCCACAAAUAUGUUGCACUAUCAUUAUCAACUUUGCAUCUUUUUGCAUCAAUAUUAUGAAUAUGUGUAUCACUAUGAUCGAGAUUCAAUAAACCAUUUAUUUUGAGUGUAUGACCAUAGAAGGUUUUAUUCAUGUAAAUAGAACAACAAUUAUUUUUUGACUUAAAUGAAUAACCGUAUUGCAAUAAACAUGAUCCAAUCAUAUUCAUGCCCAACGCAAACACCAAAUAAAAUUUAUUUUAGGUUCAACACUAAUCCCGAAGGUAAAGGGAGUGUGCGAUGGUGAUCUUAUCAUCAUUGGAAUCAUCUCCAACACACAUCGUCACCUCGCCCUUAACUAGUCUCUGUUAUGCAACUCUUGUUUCGAGUUACUACUCUUAGCAACUGAACCAGUAUCAAAUACCGAUGGGUUGCUAUAAACACUAGUAAAAUACGCAUCAAUAACAUGUAUAUCAAAUAUGCCUUUGUUCACUUUGCCAUCCUUCUUAUCCACCAAGUAUUUGGAGUUAUUCCGCUUUCAGUGACCAUUCCCUUUGCAGUAGAAGCACUUAGUUUCAGGUUUAGAUCUAGCUUUGGGUUUCGUCACGGGAGUGGCAACUUGCUUGCCAUUCUUUCUUGAAGUUCCCUUUAUUUUCCUUUGCCCCUUUUCUUGAAACUAGUGGUCUUGUUAACCAUCAACACUUGAUGCUCUUUCUUGAUUUCUACCUUCACUGAUUUUAUCAUUGUGAAGAGCUCGGGAAUCAUUUUUUUCAUCCCUUGCAUAUUAUAGUUCAUCACGAAGUUCCAGUAACUUGAUGAUAGUGACUAGAGAACUCUAUCAAUCACUAUAUUAUCUGGAAGAUUAACUCCCACUUGAUUCAAGUGAUUGUAGUACUCAAACAUUCUGAGCACAUGCUCACUGGUUGAGCUAUUCUCCUCCAUCUUGCAGGCAAAGUACUUGUCAUAGGUCUCAUACUCUCGACUCGGGCAUGAGCCUGAAAUACUAAUUUCAACUCUUGGAACAUCUUAUAUGCUCCGUGGCAUUCAAAAUGUUUUUGAAGUCCUGGUUCUAAGACGUAAAGCAUGGCGCACUAAACUAUCAAGUAGUCAUCAUAGUGAGCUUGCCAAACGUUCAUAACGUCUGCAUCUGCUCCUGCAAUAGGUCCAUCACCUAGCAGUGCAUCAAGGACAUAAUUCUUCUAUGCAGCAAUGAGGAUAAUCCUUAGAUCAUGGACCUAGUCUGCAUCAUUGCUACUAUCAUCUUUCAACUCAUUUUUCUCUAGGAACAUAUCAAAAUAAACGGGGAGCUAAAUCGCAAGCUAUUGAUCUACAACAUAGAUAUGCAAAUACUAUCAGGACUAAGUUCAUGAUAAAUUAAAGUUUAAUUAAUCAUAUUACUUAAGAACUCCCACUUAGAUAGGCAUCUCUCUAGUCAUCUAAGUGAUCACGUGAUCCAACUCAACUAAACCAUGUCCGAUCAUCACGUGAGAUGGAGUAGCUUUCAAUGGUGAACAUAACUAUGUUAAUCAUAUCUACUAUAUGAUUCACGCUCAACCCUUCGGUCUCAGUGUUCUGAGGCCAUAUCUGCAUAUGCUAGGCUUAUCAAGUUUAACCCGAGUAUUUUGCGUGUGCAAAACUAGCUUGCACCCAUUGUAUGUGAACGUAGAGCUUAUCACACCCGAUCAUCAUGUGGUGUCUCGGCACGAUGAACUGUAGCAAUGGUGCAUACUCAGGGAGAACACUUAUACCUUAAAAUUUAGUGAGAGAUCAUCUUAUAAUGCUACCGCCGUACUAAGCAAAAUAAGAUGCAUAAAAGAUAAACAUCGCAUGCAAUCAAAAUAUGUGACAUGAUAUGGCCAUCAUCAUCGUGUGCCUUUGAUCUCCAUCUCCAAAGUACUAUCAUGAUCUCCAUCGUCACCGGCAUGACACCAUGAUCUCCAUCAUCUUGAUCUUUAUCAACAUGUCGUCACAUGGUCGGCUCGCCAACUAUUGAUUUUGCAACUAUUGCUAUCGCAUAGCGAUAAAGUAAAGAAAUUAUAUAGCGCUUGCAUCUUAUGCAAUAAAGAGACAACCAUAAGGCUCCUGCCAGUUGUCGAUAACUUUAACAAAGCAUGAUCAUCUCAUACAACAAUUUAUAUCUCAUCACGUCUUGACCAUAUCACAUCACAACAUGCCCUGCAAAAACAAGUUAGACGUCCUCUACUUUGUUGUUGCAAGUUUUACGUGGCUGCUACAGGCUUCUAGCAAGAACCGUUCUUACCUACGCAUCAAGACCACAACGAUUGUUCGUCAAGUGUGUUGUUUUAACCUUCAACAAGGACCGGGCAUAGUCAAACUCGAUUCAACUAAAGUUGGAGAAACAGACACCCGCCAGCCACCUGUGUGCAAAGCACGUCGGUAGAACCAGUCUCAUGAACGUGGUCAUGUAAUGUCGGUCCGGGCCGCUUCAUCCAACAAUACCGCAGAAUCAAAGUAAGAUGUUGCUGGUAAGCAGUAUGACUAUUAUCGCCCACAACUCUUUGUGUUCUACUCGUGCAUAUAACAUCUACGCAUAGACCUGGCUUGGAUGCCACUGUUGGGGAACGUAGUAUUUCAAAAAUUUCCUAUGAUCACGCAAGAUCUAUCUAGGAGAAGCAUAUCAACGAGCGGGGAGAGUGUGUCCACGUACCCUCGUAGACCAAAAGCGGAAGCAUUUAGUAACGCGGUUGAUGUAGUCGAACGUCUUCGCGAUCCAACCGAUCCAAGUACCGAACGCACGGCACCUCCGCGAUCUGCACACGUUCACCUCGGUGACAUCCCUCGAACUCUUGAUCCAAUUGAGGCCGAGGGAGAGUUUCAUCAGCACGACGGCGUGGUGACGGUGAUGAUGAUGUUACCGGCGCAGGGCUUCGCCUAAGCACUACGACGAUAUGACCGAGGUGUUAACUAUGGAGGGGGCGCCGCACACAGCUAGGAACAAUUGAUGUGUGUUCUAGGGGUGCCCUCCCCACGUAUAUAAAGGAGGGAGAGGGAGGGAGGUAGCCUAGGGCGCGCCUAAGUAGUAGGAAUCCUACUUGGGCCCCUAGUCCAAUUUGCCCCCCCCCCCUACCAUAUUUGGACAAGGGGGAAAGGAAGGAGGGAGGAAGGAAGCAGCAGUCCUACUUCAUACUUUCCUUUUCCUCCUCUCCUUUUCCUUUCUCCCCAUGUGGCUGGCCCUAUAGGGGGCGCACCAUCCCCUUGUGGGCUGGUGUGUUCCCUUACUUGGCCCAUUAAGCCCAUAUCUUUGCCGGGGUUUGCCCGGAACCCCUUCCGAUGACCCGGUAUCACCCGGAACACUUUCGGUGUUCGAAUAUAGCCUUCCAAUAUAUGAAUCUUUACCUCUCGACCAUUUCAAGACUCCUCUUCAUGUCCGUGAUCUCAUCCGGGACUCCGAACAAACUUCGGUACAUCAAAUCACAUAGCUCAUAAUACAAAUCAUCAUCGAACGUUAAGCGUGCGGACCCUACGGGUUUGAGAACUAUGUAGACAUGACCGAGACACAUCUCCGAUCAAUAACCAAUAGCGGAACCUGGAUGCUCAUAUUGGUUCCAACAUAUUGUACGAAAAUCUUUAUCGGUCAAACCGCAUAACAACAUACGUUGUUCCCUUUGUCAUCGGUAUGUUACUUGCCCGAGAUUCGAUCAUCGGUAUCAUCAUACCUAGUUCAAUCUCGUUACCGGCAAGUCUCUUUACUCAUUCCAUAAUGCAUCAUACCGCAACUAACUCAUUAGUCACAUUGCUUGCAAGGCUUAUAGUGAUGUGCAUUACCGAGAGGGCCCAGAGAUACCUCUUUGACAAUCAGAGUGACAAAUCCUAAUCUCGAUCUAUGCCAACUCAACAAACACCAUCGGAGACACCUGUAGAGCAUCUUUAUAAUCACCCAGUUACGUUGUGACGGUUGAUAGCACACAAGGUGUUCCUCCGGUAUUCGGGAGUUGCAUAAUCUCAUAGUAAGAGGAACAUGUAUAAGUCAUGAUGAAAGCAAUAGCAAUAAAACUAAACGAUCAUUUAUGCUAAGUUAAUGGAUGGGUCAUGUCCAUCACAUCAUUCUCUAAUGAUGUGAUCCCGUUCAUCAAAUGACAACACAUGUCUAUGGUUAGGAAACUUAACCAUCUUUGAUUAACGAGCUAGUCAAGUAGAGGCAUACUAGGGACACUCUGUUUGUCUAUGUAUUCACACAUGUACUAAGUUUCCGGUUAAUACAAUUCUAGCAUGAAUAAUAAACAUUUAUCAUGAUAUAAGGAAAUAUAGAUAACAACUUUAUUAUUGCCUCUAGGGCAUAUUUCCUUCACCGACACCACCAACUCAUUAAUUAUUCUCAACAAAGUAUUUCCACGUCUAGUGAUAACCAUACGUGUCUGACUAGAUGGAAUCCAGUGAUCGUCCCAAAUACUAAUUUUAUCUCCUGAGCCAAUUCUCCAAAUAUGACUUCUCCGAAAGGUUUGGAGUCCCGCAAAAAUACUUUGCCAUGUAAAAAUGAAUUCUUUUUAGGCUCUUCUUUGAGGUGGUUUCCAUCUAGGUAAUAUUUGGCCCGGAGAACUCUUGCACAUAAAAUAUCUGGCUUAGAUAAUAGCCUCCAACUUUGCUUAGCAAGCAUAGCUAAAUUGAAAGCAUGGAGAUCCCUAAAUCCCAUGCCUCCCCCUGAUUUUUGGUAGAUGCAUUCUCCACCAUGCCACCCAAUGCAUUUUCUUUUCUUCCUCCGUAUCUCCCCACCAAAAGGCAGACAUGGCAUCAGUGAUUUCUUUGCACACCUUCUUAGGGAUUUUAAAAAUAGACAUAGCAAAAACAGGGAUUGAUUCAAUGAUUGCUUUUAAUUGAAUUUCCUUACAACCAAAAGAUAACAAUUUUUCCUUCCAUCCUUGGAGCCUAUUAACCACCCUCUCCACCAAAUAUUUGAAGCUAUCACUCCUAUCCGAACCAAUCGUAGAAGGGAGACCAAGAUAUGUAUCUGAGAGGGCUUCUGUCAUGAUAUUGAGUUCUGCACAUAUUUGAGCUUUGACUUCUACUUACACAUUAGGACUGGAAAAAAUACUGCUCUUCCCAUCACUCACUAAUUGACCAAAGCUUGUCUGAUAGUCAUCCAAUACAUGUCUCGAUGAGGUUGCAUUAUUCAUAUCUGCCUUCAUAAGGAUUAAGGAAUCAUCAUCAAAAAGUAAAUGAGAGACUGAUGGUGCAUUCCUACACACCCUAACACCUUCAAUGCCACGAACCUCCUCUGCUUGAUCCAAAGCACUAGACAACCCUUCUGCACAAAUAAGAAAAAGAUAUGGUGGCAAAGGGUCCCCUUGGCGGAGCCCCCUUGUGGGAAUGAAGCCUGCCAUUUCUUGAUCAUUAUAUCUCACUUUACAUUUAACAAAGGUAACACAAGCUAGUAUCAGGUCAAUGAUAUCCCUAUGGAAACCCAAUCUUUCCAUCAUUUUUUCAAGAAACUUCCACUCAACCCGGUCAUAGGCCUUGUGUCUGUCAAGCUUGACAGGACAAUAUCCAAAAUUCCCCUUCUUCUUGUUCUUGAUGGUAUGUGGGCAUUCAUAGGAUAAUAAUAUAUUACCUGUAGUUAGACACCCAGGGACAAAUGCACUUUGUACCAGAUAAAUAAUCUCAUCAAGGAUAGCCUUGAGGCAAAAAGCAAUCACCUUGGAAAUCACCUUAUACAAUACAUUACAUAGGCUACUAGGUCCGAAGGAAAUAUGCCCUAGAGGAAAUAAUAAUGUUGUUAUUUUAUAUUUCCUUAUUCAUGAUAAAGGUUUAUUAUUCAUGCUAGAAUUGUAUUGAUCGAAAACUUAAAUACAUGUGUGAAUACAUAAACAAAUACCGUGUCCCUAGUAAGCCUCUACUAGACCAGCUCGUUGAUCAAAGAUGAUUAAGGUUUUCUAACCAUAGACAUGUGUUGUCAUUUGAUAACGGGAUCACAUCAUUAGAAGAAUGAUGUGAUGGACAAGACCCAUCUGUUAGCAUAGCAUAUUGAUCGUUCAGUUUAUUGCUAUUGCUUUCUUAAUGUCAAAUACAUGUUCCUUCGACUAUGAGAUUAUGCAGCUCCCGGAUACCGAAGGAAUACCUUGUGUGCUAUCAAACAUCACAAAGUAACUGGGUGAUCGUAAAGAUGCUCUACAGGUAUCUCCGAAGGUGUUUGUUGAGUUGGCAUAGAUCGAGAUUAGGAUUUGUCACUCUGAGUAUUGAAGAGGUAUCUCUGCGCCCGGUAAUACACAUCAUAAGAAGCCUCGCAAGCAAAGUAACUAAUGAGUUAGUGGCAAUAUGAUGUAUUACAGAACGAGUGAAGAUACUUGUCGAUAAUGAUAUUGAACUAGGUAUGAAGAUGCCGACGAUCGAAUCUCAGGCAAGUAACAUACCGAUAGACAAAGGGAAUUACUUAUGUUCUCAUAAGGUUCGACUGAUAAAGAUCUUCAUAGAAUAUGUAGGAGCCAAUAUGGGCAUCCGGGUUACACUAUUUCUUAUUGACCGGAGAGUGAAUCGGUCAUGUCUACAUAGUUCUCGAACCCAUAGGGUCCGCAUGCUUAAUGUUCGUUGACGAUAUAGUGUUAUAUGAGUUAUAUGAUUUGGUGACCGAAUGCUGUUCGGAGUACCGAAUAAGAUCACAGACAUGACAAGGAGUCUCGAAAUGGUCGAGAUGUAAAGAUUGAUAUAUAGGACGAUGGUAUUCGGACACUGGAAGUGUUCCGAAGUGCACCGCGUAGUCAUCGGGUCACCGGAAGGGGUUCCGGACACCCCCCCCCCCCCCGGUAAGUGUAUGGGCCUAAUGGGCCAAAGGAAGGGACACACCAGCCCACUAGGGGGCUGGCGCGCCCCUCUCCUUGGAUGGCCGGCCCUGGGGGGAAGGACGGGGGAGGGGUGGCCCCUCCUACAUUUCCCUCCUCAGGAGAGAAAGGAAAGGGGGGCGCCGCCUCCUCCUUCCUUCCUCCCACACUUAUAUAAGGAAGGGGGGCGCCACUUGGGGAGGACCCCACGUAGGAUUCAACCUACUUGGGGGCACCUCCUGGCUGCUCCCUCCUCCCCCCCCCACCUAUAUAUAUGUGGGAGGGGUGCCUAGCACAACACAACAUUGUCUUAGCCGUGUGCGGCAUCCCCCUCCACUGUUUACACCCCCGGUCAUAUUUUCAUAGUGCUUAGGCAAAGCCCUACGUAGAUAGCUUCGCCAUCACCGUCACCACGCUGUCGUGCUGCCAGAACUCAUCCACUACCUCGUCGUCUUGCUGGAUCAAGAAGGCGGAGGAUGUCACCGAGUUGAACGUGUGUUGAACGCAGAGGUGCCGUACGUUCGGUACUCGAUCAAUCGGAUCGCGAAGAAGUUUGACUACAUCAACCGCGUUACUAAACGCUUCCGCUUACGGUCUACGAGGGUACAUAGACACACUCUCCUCUCUCGUUGUUAUGCAUUUCCAGGGAUAGAUCUUUUGUGUGUGUAGAUCUUUUUUGUUUUCCAUGCUACGUUUCCCAACAAGGUCGAUAUUGAGUAAUUCUCUCUGGGCUAGCGACCUUGGGGAUUAAAAGUAUAAAUGUAUCGUUUCACCCUUCUGGUAUAACUUUGUUGUUGAUAGCAUAUAGAACUUCUACAAUAAGUGCAUCACCAAGAAUGUGCCAACAUUUUUUGAAGAAAAUCGCAUGCAAUCCAUCGGUCCCUGGGGCUUUCAUGUGCCCAAUGGAGAAAAUAGCUCUUUUAAUCUCUUCUGCCACGUACGGUUUCAACAAAGAAUCGUUCAUCUCAUUAGUAACUCUCAAGGUAACUUUGUCCAAAAAAACCGGGUCCGGUUCAUCUACUUCAGUGCAGAACAAUCCAUAGAAAUAAUCAGCAAUGUGGGGGUUCAGGUAGUCUGUACCCUCGAUCCAUGCCCCUUGAUCAUCUCUAAAUUUAGUGAUUAUGUUUCUUGCCUUACAUGCAGAUGCAAAGUUCUGGAAAUACGAGGUAUUUUUGUCUUCAAACAUCAGUCAGUUCAACCUGCUCCUUUGAGCCAACUGGAUUUCUUCCAUCUCCAACAAGCGCUCAAGCUCUACAGCUAGAUCCUUCUGCCUCUAAAUGUUCUGCGAAGAUAAAGAAUCCCUUGCAACUUUCUGCAGUUCUCUCUGAACAUUUUUUGGAGGGUUUCUUUAGAAUAGUUCUGCCCCAUUUAUGUAGCUCCUUGUGGACAACAGCAAGCCUUUCUGCAAGAUUAGAUGUACAUUCAGUAGCUUCAAAACACUGCCAAGCUUGCUCGACAACCUCACGAAAUUUAUCCUCCUUUAGCCAGCGGGCUUCAAAUCGAAGGACCGACUGUCACACAGUAUCCUGACAGAUCUCUUCAUUCAUGUUCAUAAUAAUCGGCUUAUGACCCGACUUGUAAAAAUCCAAAUGUUGUAAGACUGCCCCUGGAAACAUCGAAUUCCAUCCAUCAUUCACGAGAGCACGAUCUAACCGUUCUCUGAUAAGGGCACGAUGCCAAGUAAAUUUAUCAUCGAUGAAUCCAUGAUCUGAUAAGUUACACUCAUCCACCACGUCUCUGAACGCUUGCAUGAAGUGAGUUGGUCUUUAAUUCCCACCUUCCUUCUUAAAAGAGUACAUUAUUUCGUUCAUGUCUCCUAUCACCAUCCAUGGCAUAUCCCCAAUGGAUUUUAGUUCCCUCAACCGAUCCCAAGAUAAAUGUUUAUCCUUCCACUUUGGCUCACCGUAGAACUCAGUCAACCUCAAUGAUUAUCAGCCCCACUUCCAAUAAACACAUCAAUGAAAUUCUCCUUAAUAUCUCUGAGGGAGACUGCAAACUCUUUUUCCCACAACAUUAUCAAACCACCACUCCGGCCAUCACUUCGGACAACAUACUUAUGAUCCAUCUUAGUUCAGCGAUGUAGACACUCCGUAGGGAACUCAUCCAGGUGUGUUUCCAUUAGGAACAUUACGUCCAAACACCUGCACUUCUGAGCAUUCAAAAGCGCUCGUACUGCCGCAGCAUUUUGCAGGCCACGACAAUUCCAACUCAGUAUCCUCAUUGCAACCAAAAAACCUACCAUAUCCUGAACAAUACGGAGGGACAAGAAACCGACACACCACCCUGCAGAGCAACGGGGUUGUGCCGGGACAGAAAAACAACUUCUCCAAACGUGUGUUGGGACGUGAGCUUUACAGGCGCCUGAUCCUUUGAAGCAACCUAGAGAAACAGAUCAUAGUUCGCAGAAACAACAGCCCAGCUAACUCAUCUCUUCUCCUCCUCUUGUCUUGCCAUCAAGCUAGAUUCCCAGGAAGGGCCCAUGACCCUUGCCGGGGCAGAUACCAGAUAGGCAGCCAUUGCUGCCGGCGGCGGCGGCCAAAACCCUAGUCGUGCUAGGGAUCGCCUUUCUCCUGAAGAAAAUGCUUCAAGCAUCAAGGUUAAGAUUUCUUGUCAUGCGUAUGUGAUAUGAUGGCGGGUGCUUCACAUCAAUUCAAGAGUUCAACGGCGACGACUACGGUUCUGGGGCGCUGAUCCUAUGGGCACGUGCAUGAAGAUUUCUCGGCUGCCAUCAACAAGGUCGGGCCGGCUUCGGUAGCAGAGAAGCGACAGCUCUUCCUGGCGGCGGUAGUGGUCGUUCGGUGAUCCAGAUCCUCGAUGCAAUCUUAAUUAUAUUUGGGGUGCUUUGUACUUUUCUUGAACCUUUAUAAUAUAUCCGGCGCCUUUUCGCAAAAAAAAACAUAUGUACGUGAAGGGAUUGAAAUACUCCCUCUAUUUACUUAUACAAGGCCACUAUGAGAUAUAUGUUUUGCAUCUAUACAAGGCCACAAACAUUAAUCGAGAAAAGAAUUAAUGAUAUUUUCUCAUACUAGCAAUUUGUUUAAUGCUUGCAUACAUGCCAUCAUAAUGACACUAAUUAGUUCCUCCAUUCAAUUUCCUUGCAUGCAUGUUGCGUAUUAAUGAUUUCGGUAAACGAAAAAAAAAUUGACCUGCAAAAUAUGGAUUAAAUUUUACCUUGAUACCUGUAAAAUGAGUUUAUGACCUUGUAUAUAGAAAUGAAGAGAGUACGAAUGAUCGCCGAAUACAAGUGCAGAUUACGCACGUGCUUACUUCGGCGUGCGGCGGACGCAGGUUGUAUCUGGGGAUGUCUAUUGUCUAGCACAGUCAGACCUCGCGCCGCUCGCACGCACGCGUGGCCCACGUCGCGUGUACGUUUGGCAUGGAUAGUUGGCCGCUUCUAUGCCGCUGCGCCCGCGCGUCCCUCGGACCACGUCAGAGAUAUCCUUUUGCGCCGCGCGGAAGCAUCGCACCGAUUUCCAUUUUUCUUUUAUAUAAAUAUCGCAUCGAUUUAGCGCCGCAUGCCUCCUCCGUACGCGGCGGCUAACUACUCCCGACCGAGACGGAAUUCAUGUGUCGAGGAUUUGAUUAACAGCGUGCUUUUUGGGGGGCAACUAUUAGGAUUAAAAUCAUGUGUUUUCACAUUACUAAAAUCGAUUUUUAAUACUACCUUCAUCUAGGUGAAUAAAUCAUUCGCGUAGUUCUAAGUUAUCAAUUUGAAGAAUUAAAUAUAUGUUAUAUGUCAUAAAAAGUAUAUCACUAGAUUUCUACACUGAUGUAAUUUCUAAAUAUAUAUUUUUUAUCAAAUAUAAUACAUAUUUAGAUAGUUAAAUCGUUGACCUAAAACUAGAUAGUUAAAUCGUUGACCUAAAACUAGAUGAAUGACUUAUUCAGCUAGACGAAGAUAGUAGUAGGAAAAGCCAAUAAUUGCUAAGAGUAGUGGAAUUGCGGCAAACGCCUCUGAAAAUAGCCUCAGAUCUAUUCCCUCCGUUUCUAAAUAUUGGUUUUUUUAGAGAUCUAUUCCCUCCGUUUCUAAAUAUAGAUCUUUUUAGAGAUUCUAUUGGGAGUACAUACGAAACAAAAUGAGUGAAUCUACACUCUAAAGAUUCUACUGGGACUACAUACGGAACAAAAUGAGUGAAUCUACACUCUAAAAUAUGUCUAUAUACAUCCAUACUUAGUUCAUAGUAAAAUCUCUAAAAAGACUUAUAUUUAAGAACAGAGGGAGUAAACACCAAAAUCGACGUAAAUAUUCGCAUAUGCUUUCGUUGUAAGAUUUGGCCGACCAGUUAUAUAACGAUAUUAAACAAGCAAUAUGGGAACAUUUUUUUUGAACAAAUAUGGGAACACCCGUAUUUGCAAGAAAUACAAUGUAGCAGAAUCAAAAUAGUUUACAUCAGAUUCAAACAAACAUAUAACAAAACAACAAAGCCAACCAGUCCUCAAUUAUACAAUUAUAAGAAAAUCGUAAGAAUGAGAACAGAAGUAAAAUAUGCACUCCAAACAAAUCUAAACCAAGCUUUCAAUCCAAGUCCGUACCAAGAUGGCUGUGAGCAACACCGUUGAUUGCUUGAUACAGAGUAUGAUGGGUCCACACAAUACGAACGUUUUCAAAGAAAAAUGAAAUGGUUACUUGUCAUCUAUAAACUGUCUUGCAGCUCACUGAGAGCUGCCAUUCGCAGGGCAUGCGAACUUGUCGGUACCGGUAGUCCAGCAGCGUGGCCGGGAACAUCCUUCUCGAUUAGAACACUGUUGUCUUCAAAGUCAUGUGAAAGUUGCAGCUUUGAUAAAAGCUUCCCCAUAUUACAUGACAAAAACUAAUUUCAAUGGCACCCAGUCAGUCAAAGAGCACCAAUCCAACCAAGCAUGCGAGGUUAUGCACACUCCACAAUGCGAUUAUGCACAACUCACUCUUCCAUCAUCUAUCAUCUCUUUGAUCCAAAAACAUCAGAUUGGUAAAACUUGCAUUAGCUACGCUCCAGAGAACAUGGUAACAUAUGCACAUAACAGGACAUUGGUGAGCUCUAGGGAGUCAACAUGCCUAACUUCAAUUUUUAUUUCAAGAAAAAUGGCAUAUUGCAUGUACCAAUUAUUAUAAUGAACCGUCAACAAGGAAAUUUGAUAAGUACUAAGAAAGAAUUAAUAUUGUUUCUACAGUGAUAGCAGUUUCCCCUCAAAUGUAUUACCAAAAUGAUGGAAAGCAAGGUAAACAGACCAUGGUCUGAACAGAUCUGCCUAAAAAAUGUUUAGCAGUCGUUUCACCAAUACCAACAGAGGGGCGGGGGGUAAUCUUUAAUUGAUGAUGGGGAAAUGUAGUGGAAUUUGCUCUGGUUAGUUCAACAGAUCUUUUUUUUUUGGUAAGACCAACCAAAAUACUGAUGCAAGUCUGAUGUACAAGUAUCAAUUUCUGAUCCUCUGCUAUCCCAUUGUCGAGAAUUUCCAAAACAUAACUAACAGUGCAAGCUAAGUGCUCCUAAACAUUACUUACGUUAGUAAGUAAACUAAUUGUGAAUGGAAGGGAAAAUCCCACGUUGAAAGAAUCUAUAAUAAACAUAUCUUAGAUUUUAUCUGAAAGAAAAAGCCGCCAUUAUCGAGCCAUUAGACAUUAACAGCAAUACCCAAACUGGACAUGAGUUAAAACUGAAGACCACAAACAUAACUUGGACAAAACCAAUCGAGAAAAAUCAAGGAGUCUAUGUAAUACUUCACUGCAGAUGAAAGACAUCUAAGACAGAUAUAUAGCUAGAAUCCAUUAUAACAAAUAGCAAUUUCCCCUGAGUCCAGUGUCCACGACAAGCAAACAAAUUUCAGGAGGGUAUUAACAAAUGGAUGAUCUUGAUCAAAAUCUGUAGAGAUAUGAAAAGCCAUGACUCCAGUUGCCAACUUCACAACGUUUACCAUGAGGCUGUGACUCAACUAUAUGGUCCCAAGGGGAAGAAACUUGAAACGACAGCAGCGACUACGGACACAGAUGGACCCCAGACAUUCAGACUGAAACUUGACGACGACGCUGAACCUUCUUGACCUCAUUACUGUUCUAGGAC